GACGAACGCUGGCGGCGUGCUUAACACAUGCAAGUCGAACGGAAAGGCCCUGCUUUUGUGGGGUGCUCGAGUGGCGAACGGGUGAGUAACACGUGAGUAACCUGCCCUUGACUUUGGGAUAACUUCAGGAAACUGGGGCUAAUACCGGAUAGGAGCUCCUGCUGCAUGGUGGGGGUUGGAAAGUUUCGGCGGUUGGGGAUGGACUCGCGGCUUAUCAGCUUGUUGGUGGGGUAGUGGCUUACCAAGGCUUUGACGGGUAGCCGGCCUGAGAGGGUGACCGGCCACAUUGGGACUGAGAUACGGCCCAGACUCCUACGGGGGGCAGCAGUGGGGAAUAUUGCACAAUGGGCGGAAGCCUGAUGCAGCAACGCCGUGUGCGGGAUAACGGCCUUCGGGUUGUAAACCGCUUUCGCCUGUGACGAAGCGUGAGUGACGGUAAUGGGUAAAGAAGCACCGGCUAACUACGUG
This 468-nucleotide ribosomal RNA is filed under the name uncultured bacterium. RNAcentral's name for it is "partial 16S ribosomal RNA". It matches the Rfam family "Bacterial small subunit ribosomal RNA", at positions 28 to 507 of the family's 1533-position model. The record is from RNAcentral.